GACUGAGCUUGUCGAUACUUA
RNAcentral lists this microRNA (21 nucleotides) under Ananas comosus (pineapple). RNAcentral's name for it is "microRNA s0360_c39a". Lineage: Eukaryota; Viridiplantae; Streptophyta; Magnoliopsida; Poales; Bromeliaceae. The record is from RNAcentral.